GGGGCCAACUCUACCCUCCAUCCAACUACUAAAUUAUUGACUAUGGAGAUUGCUCAUCACGGCUCAUGGAAAGCAUGACAAAAUUAAAGCAGCCCAAGUAAAUCAAAUCAAUUGAAAAAGCUCAUGACAUUUAGUUACAAGGUGGGUGGUGGAGGAAGAUAGAUCUCUAUUUUUUGUAGAUUUAUGAGGUUUCCCAUUUAUGAAUAAGAAUAAGGUUUGCAUUGAUACAAUCAAGUGAGCAACACUUGUGUAAUACAUGUUGCAAUUAAACUUAUUUUUUAAAAAAUCCUCUCAAUGUUUGUUUCAUAAUGUUGUUAUAUAUAUAUAUAUAUAUAUAUAUAUAUAUAACUGAAAUUAUGUCAUUGACAACAAAUUGACAAUAAUGCAAGUUCUUUAAUAAAUUCUAUUUGAUAUCACAAAAGGGGUCUUCAUUAUGUUGUCCCCAUAUGCAUUGAUUCAACAUCCUUUUCUUUUUGUAUUAUAAUUAAGAAAAUUGUUAUGCAUUAUGGCACCACCAUACAAGAAAAAAAAAAAACGAAAACAAAGCAAAAAAAUGAUACUUACAAAGAAAAGUACUUUGGAAGACAAGUGCUAAUAAACCCUCAUAAAUUGCAAAAGUACAAAUUUAUUGGAGCGGGUUUUAUUUCAUUGUAAGAGCUUGUAUAAAGAUCAAUCAAGUAAUGCCGUUUUUGUAAAUCAUAAGAGAUGCCUACUCACUUCAUUCACGUGGUCAGUUAUCUUUAUUUAUUGUUUUUUGUUGUAUUUCGCAACCAUUGCUUCUUGUAUUCAAGUCAUUGGACCAAAAGAACAAAAACAUCAAUAAAACAUAAUGACUACAAAUACUAUGUAAUAACAUUGUUUCAGCACAUACAAACAAAUACAUUGUGCAUGGUUUUAUCAACCUCUCAAGUAAAUAAUAAAUUAAAGUGGUAAAUUACGAUGAAAAAAUACACGUGUAUUUUAUUUGUUAUCCAACAAGAAGCACAUUGUGGUUUUAAAGCAAUGAUUAUCUCUUUGAUUUAUUGGAGCCCAUUUCUAUUCUCAAUACCAUCAUUGGCAUUAAUGCAUCCUUUUCAAUUUAUGAAAACAAAACGUCACAGGAAUGGUUCAGUGCUUUUAAAGACAUUCUGUAUAAAUUUAAGAAGAUGUGUUACAGAAUAGCAUAUAUCUCAUGUAGCAAACUACCUUGAUUUACAAUUCAUUCUGUAGCAAAAAAAUAAUAAUAUGAAACGUGAAAAUAAUGUGUUGUGCAAUAUAAAAAUGCAGAUGUGAAUGCUAGAUAAUAUUACUACACACUUAUAAAUAGAAAAAAAAGUGAGUGAAAAUGAUUAUACCAGGAAACUCAGAUUUUAAAAUCUUAUUCAUAAUUUUUAAUAUUUUUAUUUAGUUGAAAGUAAAAGGUGGAAAAUGUAAGGUAUCACCACAUUAUAUUAUUUUAUGUCUUGGAUAUUCACUCUACACACUUCUACACAUAUUCAAAGUAACAAAAAAUUGCAGGUCACAAAGCAUGGUAACUUAUUUUUGAAAAUGGCCAAUAUAUAAAGGUCUUCUAUUGUAUUUCAAAAUUUGAGAACUAUAUAUUUCAUGAAAUUAAUGUUUUGAAGUUUUCUUGUAGUUUUUGAAACAAAUUGGUAUAUAUGUAUUUGCUUUAUUACUUCUUUUCCAAUGUGAAUCUAGAUUAUAAAUUGGAAACCUUUGUAUUUAUGUUUAUUGCUCAAAAAAAUAAAAAUGUAAUGCCUAUCCCAUAAUUAUUUUCUCAAAAAUGUUAUUUAAACAUAUCAAAUACUGAAUAAAAGUAGACCUUCGUAUUUGAAAAGAAAGUCACUCAAAACGUCUCUAAAAGGCAAUGUUGUGAUCUCUUCAGUUCCUUAUUCAACAGAGCAUGGAAACUUCACAUGUGGAUGAUUUGAUGCUAUUUGCUGCUGUAGAGCAUUAAAAAUAUAUGUAAUGAAUUACAUGGAUUUAUAUCAAUUUUUAAAGACCCAAAGCAUGUUGAUGGUUUUUUAGUUUCACUAAAGAUAACAAUGAGAACAGUAACUAUAAAAUUAAAAUUAAAUUAAAAAAGAAACAAAAGAUGCAUACAUUCUUAGGAAAAUGUAGUCAUGACAGAUUUGAUACUCCGCCUCAAUGAAUGCAAUUUGAAACAUUACCACUUUUGUUAAGUUGGUCAAUAAUUUGAAUUAGGAAACUUUGUACAUUAUGUAAUGUAAUAAUAGAAGAUAGAUACAAGGGUGAAAAAAAUCAUAUAUGUGUGUAUGUGUAUAUAGAAAGUAGUUGUAAUAUGGUAGGUAGAAAGUUUUUAGGUUUUGUUGUGAAUGCUUAAAGUGAUACAAUACAAUUCUAAAAUAGGUGACAAUAGAGUUUUGCAAUUGUUUUUAAUGAUUCACUUUAUAGAAUGGUCUUCUAUCUUGGGGAGUUUCAGAAGUCACCAUUAACCACAAGACUGCUCCAUGUAUAUAUAUUCACACAAAAAAGGGAUGUGUGUUUAAUAUUUUCUAAAAAUAAAUACUCAACAUCGGUUCAUUGCAAACGUAGAGAAUGGUAGUAUCACAUUUAUUGGAACAUCAUUAAUGCGAUAAUCCUAUAAUUAAUUGUUGAUUUUGCACCCGUU
This 2611-nucleotide long non-coding RNA is filed under the name Physcomitrium patens. RNAcentral describes it as "long non-coding RNA (PPAT_LNC013268)". Lineage: Eukaryota; Viridiplantae; Streptophyta; Bryopsida; Funariales; Funariaceae. The record is from RNAcentral.